RNAcentral lists this ribosomal RNA (955 nucleotides) under Chaetocladium brefeldii. Its description in RNAcentral is "LSU rRNA". It matches the Rfam family "Eukaryotic large subunit ribosomal RNA", at positions 68 to 937 of the family's 3401-position model. The record is from RNAcentral. Lineage: Eukaryota; Fungi; Mucoromycota; Mucoromycetes; Mucorales; Chaetocladiaceae.
UACAUGAUUUCCCUAGUAACGGCGAGUGAAGAGGAAAGAGCUCAAAGUUGGAACCUGUUUGGCUUAGCUAAACCGGAUUGUAAACUGUAGAAACAUUUUCCAGGCACGCUAGACAAAAAAAGUCCUUUGGAACAGGGCAUCAUAGAGGGUGAGAAUCCCGUCUUAAUCUAAGUAGUUGUCUAUUUGUGAUAUGUUUUCAAAGAGUCAGGUUGUUUGGGAAUGCAGCCUAAAUUGGGUGGUAAAUCUCACCUAAAGCUAAAUAUUUGCGAGAGACCGAUAGCGAACAAGUACCGUGAGGGAAAGAUGAAAAGAACUUUGAAAAGAGAGUUAAACAGUAUGUGAAAUUGUUAAAAGGGAACCGUUUGGAGCCAGACUGGCUUGACUGUAAUCAUCCUACUUUUUUUGUGGGUGCACUUGCGGUCUUUGCCUGCCAACAACAGUUUGAUUUGGAGGAAAAAAAUAUUUGGAAUGUGGCCUUUUUCGGAAGGUGUUAUAGCCUUUUAUAUCAUACUCUGGAUUGGACUGAGGAUCGCAGUUAUUGUUUCCGCUUGUUUUUCUUUUGCUGAUAAAUGUUAAAAUUUCUGCUUAGGGUGGUGUUAAUGUUUAAAGGUAAAACUAGGAUGAGUAUUGUGAUAACUUAGGUUGUUGGCUUAAUGACUCUAAAUGACCCGUCUUGAAACACGGACCAAGGAGUCCACCAUAAGUGCAAGUAUUUGGGUGCCAAACUCAUAUGCGUAAGGAAACUGAUUGAUACGAAUAGCUUCGGCGUGCAGUAUCACCCGGCAUAGACGUUUUUAACUGAAAUGACCGAGGUUAAGCACUUAUGAUGGGACCCGAAAGAUGGUGAACUAUGCCUGAAUAGGGUGAAGCCGGAGGAAACUCCGGUGGAGGCUCGUAGCGAUUCUGACGUGCAAAUCGAUCGUCAAAUUUGGGUAUAGGGGCGAAAGACUAAUCG